Molecule: ribosomal RNA, 440 nt
Filed under: uncultured bacterium
Lineage: Bacteria
Description: partial 16S ribosomal RNA
Rfam family: Bacterial small subunit ribosomal RNA
Source: RNAcentral
CCUACGGGAGGCAGCAGUGGGGAAUAUUGCACAAUGGGGGAAACCCUGAUGCAGCGACGCCGCGUGAGUGAAGAAGUAUCUCGGUAUGUAAAGCUCUAUCAGUAGGGAAGAAAAUGACGGUACCUGAUCCAGAAGCCCCGGCUAACUACGUGCCAGCAGCCGCGGUAAUACGUAGGGGGCAAGCGUUAUCCGGAUUUACUGGGUGUAAAGGGAGCGUAGACGGCAGCACAAGUCUGGUGUGAAAUUCCGGGGCUUAACCCCGGAACUGCUUUGGAAACUGUGAAGCUAGAGUGCAGGUGAGGUAAGUGGAAUUCGUGGUGUAGCGGUGAAAUGCGUAGAUAUUAGGAGGAACACCAGUGGCGAAGGCGGCUUACUGGACUGUAACUGACGUUGAGGCUCGAAAGCGUGGGGAGCAAACAGGAUUAGAUACCCCAGUAGUC